GUUUUACAUUCUCCAACCUUUUUACUCUGAGCUUCACUGGAGGAUUCAUGACGAGAAAAGAGAUGACGCUGUGCAGAAAAAUGAUCUUUACCGCUGCAAAAUUUAUCCCUGCCAGAAACGCAAAAUGCUGCAGCACUUAAUUAAAGAAUAUAGAAAGUCACCAAAAUAUUAACAUUAAACCAUGGCCUCCGCCUCUCACUUUUUGCUUAAGAAUCUCACCAGAGGAGAAAUGACAGGAGGGAAGACAAUCUGAAUCUUUCUUCCCACCCCACCCCCAGUCCUCUGAAGAAAGACAUUGUUCAGCAAAUUAAACAGGAUUCAUUCCUUGAAGAAAAAGCACUGAUUCAAAGAGCCUAUAGAUAUUUAAUGGCCAAUCAGUAUUGCUCAGAGGGGAUCUCCUUGGCUUCAUGCAUCAACUGGGACGUAUGCUGUAUCCCUUUUCUGAAGAGCACCUUAUACAAAUGGAGGCUGUGGACACCACUUCACCUAAACUGAAGAUGUUAUUUUCUCAAACUUCAGUUCCCCAGAAUUCAUCAUGGCAUGGUCUUGGAUCAGACUCUUAGCAUCAAUGUCCUGGCAGGAUCAUCGUCUUCAUUUACAACAGGCUAUCCAAACAAGCUAUGUUCAGAUGAACACAAUAUCCAGACCAUCUACUGAUUUCCAUGGGUUCCUUGGCCAGCAGAAUGGGAACUACUGCAUCAGCUUGUGGAGACAGUGUGCACACAUCUUCAUGCACCACAGUUGUUGGUUCCUUAUUUUGUUUCCAAUAUUCCAAGUGGUUCCCAUCAUCGUCCACAGUUAAACCCUAGCUAAUUAAAACAUGGAUAUAUGAGAAGUGGGAUGAUUUGUGUGUGUGUGUGUGAGGAUAGGAAAGCCAGAAAACUUGAAGCUUAUUCUUUUUCUGUUUACUCACAGAUAUUCUCAAAUAUCUGUUUCUGACUCCUGCAGAAGGUUUGACAUGUAUCACUCUGUGGAGAAUAAAGCUGCAGCCAAAAGCUGCACUGUCUGUGCUCCCCAGAACCUCUGGAACUCCUUGGCCCCUUGUCCCACCUGAAAGGGGCAAGUGAGGGCCUGCCCAGCAAAAGCAGAAACUAGACAAGAAAUAGAGGGAGCCAAAAAAACAAAAAACAAAAAACAAAAAACAAACAAACAAACAAAAAAAACAAACAAACAAACAAAAAACAAAGAAAGAAAGGACCAUACUUGGGGAGCCAUACUUGGGGCAUUGGUUCCUGUAUCCUUCUUCCUACCUUCAGAAACCAACAGCACAGGAAGGCAGUGAGCUCUAGCCUGAGCCUGAAGGAGCCUGAUAGCUUCUGCUUGUGUUCUUCUGGAUCCCAGGCUGUUCUGUUGGAUGGAGAGUGACCAAGUAGAAGAGAACCAAGACACUCAGUUGACAGCUAAGCCCAGGCAUGUGAGUUAGGACAUCUUGGAGUUACCAACCUUGGGGAUGCCACAUAGACAAUCCUUUACCUGUGUUUCAAACAUCUCAGGCAACCUUCUCCUCCCACAUUCCCAAACCACAGAAUCAGAAACAAGAAAAUGGUGUUGUCUUGGGCUACUAAGUUUGAAAUGAUUUGUUAUGGAGCAUAGGCUGACACAUGAAGACAAUGCUGUUCUCCCUAAUUACUAUCCUAAAAAUCAAAUAUUAAAUACAGAAGCCUUUCUAAACUGAGAUGUGGUUUAAAAUGAAGAGAAUUAGUAGUACUAUGACUAAUACUUUAUAUAAAAUCUUGGCGCCCUUCACAUUACUGAGGGCAGGAAAGGAGAAGGAAACAAGGAGAUGAGGUACAUGUUUUAAUAAUUAU
This 1808-nucleotide long non-coding RNA is filed under the name Canis lupus familiaris (dog). RNAcentral's name for it is "lncRNA (ENSCAFG00845026502.1)". Lineage: Eukaryota; Metazoa; Chordata; Mammalia; Carnivora; Canidae. The record is from RNAcentral.